CAGGAAGUCGGACCAGAUGAUCUGGUGGUCUCCUCUGGCCUGUGACACUCGGAUCUGACUUUCCAGUUUUCCUCUGCAAUGAUGAAGGCUAGAAUUGUGCUGAGAUUGUCACAUGGAUGUGCUCUCAUGUGAGUAGUAUUUAUCAGAUGGACACACUCAAUCUGUGGUUUUUAGCCAUGCAUCUGUGGUCCAUACUUGGAUGGGAGGCUUCUAAAGGUAUCCCCGGUUAUUGCAGGAAGUGGUGUUGCUGACUCAAGCACAGAGAAAUCUCCCAUUGGAGUCUGAGGCUUAUGCUGGUUGGCCAUCAAGGAAUCCACCCACCCAUGAGGAGGUGCUGAGCUGUGGACAUCAUCUCCAGUGUCACUCCCACAAGCCCUAUUGACCAUCAGCUGCAGAACACCAAGGAAAGUCGGCUGUGGCAUUGGCCCGC
This is a long non-coding RNA of Mauremys mutica (yellowpond turtle), 430 nucleotides long. RefSeq lists it as uncharacterized. The transcript is spliced from 3 exons. NCBI's taxonomy places the organism in Eukaryota, Metazoa, Chordata, Testudines, Geoemydidae. The record is from RefSeq and is a predicted model, not a curated record.